This 74-nucleotide transfer RNA is filed under the name Trichonephila clavata. It matches the Rfam family "tRNA". From Rfam's summary of the family: Transfer RNA (tRNA) molecules are approximately 80 nucleotides in length. Their secondary structure includes four short double-helical elements and three loops (D, anti-codon, and T loops). The record is from Rfam by way of RNAcentral. Lineage: Eukaryota; Metazoa; Arthropoda; Arachnida; Araneae; Nephilidae.
GGCGCGUUGGCUUAGUUGGUUAAAGCGCCUGUCUAGUAAACAGGAGAUCACGAGUUCGAAUCUCGUCGGUGCCU